This 739-nucleotide ribosomal RNA is filed under the name Salmonella enterica. Its description in RNAcentral is "partial 23S ribosomal RNA". It matches the Rfam family "Bacterial large subunit ribosomal RNA", at positions 552 to 1190 of the family's 2925-position model. Lineage: Bacteria; Pseudomonadati; Pseudomonadota; Gammaproteobacteria; Enterobacterales; Enterobacteriaceae. The record is from RNAcentral.
GAAACCGUGUACGUACAAGCAGUGGGAGCCCCACCACCAAAGCAUUCUCUGGUGUUGAAGGCCCUGCAAAGCAGCAUCGCGGUGGCGGAGCGUCGUUUGCGACGCCCAACACACAAAACAAGCGGUGAGUGCUUUGGGGUGGGGUGACUGCGUACCUUUUGUAUAAUGGGUCAGCGACUUAUAUUCUGUAGCAAGGUUAACCGAAUAGGGGAGCCGGAGGGAAACCGAGUCUUAAUUGGGCGUUAAGUUGCAGGGUAUAGACCCGAAACCCGGUGAUCUAGCCAUGGGCAGGUUGAAGGUUGGGUAACACUAACUGGAGGACCGAACCGACUAAUGUUGAAAAAUUAGCGGAUGACCUGUGGCUGGGGGUGAAAGGCCAAUCAAACCGGGAGAUAGCUGGUUCUCCCCGAAAGCUAUUUAGGUAGCGCCUCGUGAAUUCAUCUCCGGGGGUAGAGCACUGUUUCGGCUAGGGGGCCAUCCCGGCUUACCAACCCGAUGCAAACUGCGAAUACCGGAGAAUGUUAUCACGGGAGACACACGGCGGGUGCUAACGUCCGUCGUGAAGAGGGAAACAACCCAGACCGCCAGCUAAGGUCCCAAAGUCAUGGUUAAGUGGGAAACGAUGUGGGAAGGCCCAGACAGCCAGGAUGUUGGCUUAGAAGCAGCCAUCAUUUAAAGAAAGCGUAAUAGCUCACUGGUCGAGUCGGCCUGCGCGGAAGAUGUAACGGGGCUAAACCAU